CCUACGGGCGGCAGCAGUGAGGAAUAUUGGUCAAUGGGCGGAAGCCUGAACCAGCCAAGUAGCGUGCGGGAUGAAGGCCCUACGGGUCGUAAACCGCUUUUGCACGGGGAUAACACCCUCCACUUGUGGAGGUCUGCAGGUACCGUGCGAAUAAGGGCCGUCUAAUUCCGUGACAGCAGCCGCGGUAAUACGGAAGGCCCGAGCGUUAUCCGGAUUCAUUGGGCGUAAAGGGAGCGUAGGCGGGCGUUCAAGUCAGCUGUAAAAGCGCGCGGCUCAACCGCGCCCCGCAGUUGAAACUGGACGCCUUGAGUUCACAACAGGCAGGCGGAAUUCGUGGUGUAGCGGUGAAAUGCAUAGAUAUCACGAGGAACCCCGAUUGCGAAGGCAGCCUGCCGGGGUGCGACUGACGCUGAGGCUCGAAGGUGCGGGUAUCAAACAGGAUUAGAUACCCUAGUAGUC
Molecule: ribosomal RNA, 459 nt
Filed under: uncultured bacterium
Lineage: Bacteria
Description: partial 16S ribosomal RNA
Rfam family: Bacterial small subunit ribosomal RNA
Source: RNAcentral